CAUAGGUUAAUGAGGCGAACCGGGGGAACUGAAACAUCUAAGUACCCCGAGGAAAAGAAAUCAACCGAGAUUCCCCCAGUAGCGGCGAGCGAACGGGGAGCAGCCCAGAGCCUGAAUCAGUAUGUGUGUUAGUGGAAGCGUCUGGAAAGGCGCGCGAUACAGGGUGACAGCCCCGUACACAAAAAUGCACAUGCUGUGAGCUCGAUGAGUAGGGCGGGACACGUGGUAUCCUGUCUGAAUAUGGGGGGACCAUCCUCCAAGGCUAAAUACUCCUGACUGACCGAUAGUGAACCAGUACCGUGAGGGAAAGGCGAAAAGAACCCCGGCGAGGGGAGUGAAAAAGAACCUGAAACCGUGUACGUACAAGCAGUGGGAGCACGCUUAGGCGUGUGACUGCGUACCUUUUGUAUAAUGGGUCAGCGACUUAUAUUCUGUAGCAAGGUUAACCGAAUAGGGGAGCCGAAGGGAAACCGAGUCUUAACUGGGCGUUAAGUUGCAGGGUAUAGACCCGAAACCCGGUGAUCUAGCCAUGGGCAGGUUGAAGGUUGGGUAACACUAACUGGAGGACCGAACCGACUAAUGUUGAAAAAUUAGCGGAUGACUUGUGGCUGGGGGUGAAAGGCCAAUCAAACCGGGAGAUAGCUGGUUCUCCCCGAAAGCUAUUUAGGUAGCGCCUCGUGAAUUCAUCUCCGGGGGUAGAGCACUGUUUCGGCAAGGGGGUCAUCCCGACUUACCAACCCGAUGCAAACUGCGAAUACCGGAGAAUGUUAUCACGGGAGACACACGGCGGGUGCUAACGUCCGUCGUGAAGAGGGAAACAACCCAGACCGCCAGCUAAGGUCCCAAAGUCAUGGUUAAGUGGGAAACGAUGUGGGAAGGCCCAGACAGCCAGGAUGUUGGCUUAGAAGCAGCCAUCAUUUAAAGAAAGCGUAAUAGCUCACUGGUCGAGUCGGCCUGCGCGGAAGAUGUAACGGGGCUAAACCAUGCACCGAAGCUGCGGCAGCGACGCUGAUGCGUUGUUGGGUAGGGGAGCGUUCUGUAAGCCUGCGAAGGUGUGCUGUGAGGCAUGCUGGAGGUAUCAGAAGUGCGAAUGCUGACAUAAGUAACGAUAAAGCGGGUGAAAAGCCCGCUCGCCGGAAGACCAAGGGUUCCUGUCCAACGUUAAUCGGGGCAGGGUGAGUCGACCCCUA
Molecule: ribosomal RNA, 1190 nt
Filed under: Escherichia coli
Lineage: Bacteria; Pseudomonadati; Pseudomonadota; Gammaproteobacteria; Enterobacterales; Enterobacteriaceae
Description: partial 23S ribosomal RNA
Rfam family: Bacterial large subunit ribosomal RNA
Source: RNAcentral